UCCAACUGCAGUAGAGAAUUUGCCCGCUUC
This 30-nucleotide non-coding RNA is filed under the name Mus musculus (house mouse). Lineage: Eukaryota; Metazoa; Chordata; Mammalia; Rodentia; Muridae. The record is from RNAcentral.